GAUCAUGGCUCAGGAUGAACGCUAGCUACAGGCUUAACACAUGCAAGUCGAGGGGCAGCAUGUUGGUUGCUUGCAACCAACGAUGGCGACCGGCGCACGGGUGAGUAACGCGUAUCCAACCUUCCGCACACUCGGGAAUAGCCUUUCGAAGAAAGAUUAAUGCCCGAUGGUUUCCCGAAUCCGCAUGAGGACGGGAAUAAAGAUUCAUCGGUGUGCGAUGGGGAUGCGUCCCAUUAG
Molecule: ribosomal RNA, 237 nt
Filed under: uncultured bacterium
Lineage: Bacteria
Description: partial 16S ribosomal RNA
Rfam family: Bacterial small subunit ribosomal RNA
Source: RNAcentral